This 497-nucleotide ribosomal RNA is filed under the name uncultured bacterium. RNAcentral's name for it is "partial 16S ribosomal RNA". It matches the Rfam family "Bacterial small subunit ribosomal RNA", at positions 28 to 507 of the family's 1533-position model. The record is from RNAcentral.
GAUGAACGCUGGCGGCGUGCCUAAUACAUGCAAGUCGAGCGAACGGACGAGAAGCUUGCUUCUCUGAUGUUAGCGGCGGACGGGUAAGUAACACGUGGAUAACCUACCUAUAAGACUGGGAUAACUUCGGGAAACCGUAGCUAAUACCGGAUAAUAUUUUGAACCGCAUGGUUCAAAAGUGAAAGACGGUCUUGCUGUCACUUAUAGAUGGAUCCGCGCUGCAUUAGCUAGUUGGUAAGGUAACGGCUUACCAAGGCAACGAUGCAUAGCCGACCUGAGAGGGUGAUCGGCCACACUGGAACUGAGACACGGUCCAGACUCCUACGGGAGGCAGCAGUAGGGAAUCUUCCGCAAUAGGCGAAAGCCUGACGGAGCAACGCCGCGUGAGUGAUGAAGGUCUUCGGAUCGUAAAACUCUGUUAUUAGGGAAGAACAUAUGUGUAAGUAACUGUGCACAUCUUGACGGUACCUAAUCAGAAAGCCACGGCUAACUACGUG